UACGGGGGGAGCAAGCGUUGUUCGGAUUUACUGGGCGUAAAGGGCGCGUAGGCGGCCACCGCAAGUCGACUGUGAAAUCUCCGGGCUUAACCCGGAAAGGUCAGCCGAUACUGCGGGGCUAGAGUGCAGAAGGGGCAACUGGAAUUCUCGGUGUAGCGGUGAAAUGCGUAGAUAUCGAGAGGAACACCUGCGGCGAAGGCGGGUUGCUGGGCUGACACUGACGCUGAGGUGCGAAAGCUAGGGGAGCGAACGGG
This 254-nucleotide ribosomal RNA is filed under the name uncultured bacterium. Its description in RNAcentral is "partial 16S ribosomal RNA". It matches the Rfam family "Bacterial small subunit ribosomal RNA", at positions 524 to 776 of the family's 1533-position model. The record is from RNAcentral.